Molecule: ribosomal RNA, 198 nt
Filed under: uncultured bacterium
Lineage: Bacteria
Description: partial 16S ribosomal RNA
Rfam family: Bacterial small subunit ribosomal RNA
Source: RNAcentral
ACGCUCGACACCUACGGGAUGCAGCAGUGAGGGAUAUUGGUCAAUGGGGGAAACCCUGAACCAGCAACGCCGCGUGAGGGAUGACGGUCUUCGGAUUGUAAACCUCUGUCCUCUGUGAAGAUAAUGACGGUAGCAGAGGAGGAAGCUCCGGCUAACUACGUGCCAGCAGCCGCGGUAAUCUGAGCGGGCUGGCAAGGC